CGGCAGCGACCCGACUCGGCAGCAUCAGUAUUCGGGAGGCGCUCGCAGCCAGUCUGGCGCGGGCUCUUCAAGGCCGCUGUCCUCAAAUGACCCUAGGGCCCUGGCUGCCCUUUCAGGUCGAGAGCGCUCACACAGCCUAGGGCGAAUGCGAGGGAGGAAAAUGGCAAACCCGGGGUUCCCUGAGCCUUCCUCCGGGGGGGACGUCACCACCCACUCACUUCCACUCCACGUCUCCCUCCCACCUUCCACACCUUCCCCUAGGCACUGUAGAGAGCGCUUGGUCCCAAUAGUUUAAGGGACUGCAGGCAAAAGGCGGCACGAAAAUUGCGCCGCAGAGGCAAAGGCUCAAGAUCACAGCCUAUGAACAGACAUACUGAGCAGGAGUUUAACUAGAAGAGGAAGGGUCAGAUGGGGAAACUGAGGCUCAUAAAGACAAAGAGAAUCUUGCCCAAGGCCACAUGAGGAGUUGUAGCAAACCAUUAAAAAUCUGCUUUUCCUGUUGUUUGCAUGAUGAAUAUGGGAAUAUGUUUAGAAGAAUUACACAUCUUUAGUCUACAUCAGAUUGCUUCCUGUCUAGGAGAGGAGGAGGAAGGGUGAAGUAAAGGAGAAAAUUUUGGAACACAAG
Antechinus flavipes (yellow-footed antechinus) is the source of this 625-nucleotide long non-coding RNA. RefSeq lists it as uncharacterized. NCBI's taxonomy places the organism in Eukaryota, Metazoa, Chordata, Mammalia, Dasyuromorphia, Dasyuridae. The record is from RefSeq and is a predicted model, not a curated record. The transcript is spliced from 4 exons.